UGGGGAAUUUUGCGCAAUGGGGGAAACCCUGACGCAGCAACGCCGCGUGGAGGAUGAAGCCCCUUGGGGUGUAAACUCCUUUCGACCGGGAAAAUUAUGAUGGUACCGGUGGAAGAAGCACUGGCUAACUCUGUGCCAGCAGCCGCGGUAAUACAGAGGGUGCGAGCGUUGUUCGGAAUUAUUGGGCGUAAAGGGUCCGUAGGCGGUGUGGCAAGUCGGGAGUGAAAUCUCUGGGCUUAACCCAGAGGCUGCUUCCGAAACUGCCAUGCUAGAGUGUGAGAGAGGCGAGUGGAAUUACGGGUGUAGCGGUGAAAUGCGUAGAUAUCCGUAGGAACAUCCGAGGCGAAGGCGGCUCGCUGGAUCACAACUGACGCUGAGGGACGAAAGCUAGGGGAGCAAACAGGAUUAGAUACCCUGGUAGUCCUAGCCCUAAACCAUCAGGACUUGGGGUGUGCCCUGUACGGGGCACGUCCCGUAGCUAACGCGUUAAGUCCUGCGCCUGGGGAGUACGGUCGCAAGGCUG
This 523-nucleotide ribosomal RNA is filed under the name uncultured bacterium. RNAcentral's name for it is "bacterial SSU rRNA". It matches the Rfam family "Bacterial small subunit ribosomal RNA", at positions 355 to 896 of the family's 1533-position model. The record is from RNAcentral.